Molecule: small nuclear RNA, 21 nt
Filed under: Arabidopsis thaliana (thale cress)
Lineage: Eukaryota; Viridiplantae; Streptophyta; Magnoliopsida; Brassicales; Brassicaceae
Description: snRNA_15276
Source: RNAcentral
AGAGGGUGAGAGCCCCGUCGU